CUCAGACUUUGGGGGCCCAGGGACUGUGCACGUUGAGUUUUCUCCUGAGUGAAGACAAUGUUUACCCAGUGUUCCCUGGGUGAACUGGCACCCAGUUAUGUGCUGUGGACGGGCAGAUGCUUUGCUCCCAGGAGCUCAAUGGUGCCAGCUCUGACACAGGAGGAUGCUGGGACACAGCCGGGGGCGGGGCUUGGACCGGCUCAGUUCCUAGUCUUGUCUGAGCGCCUGCUUUCUUUGCUUCCAACCUGUAGUGCACAAGCAUCUCCCUGCCUAGCAGCAGGCUGUAAAUAGGUUCUGAGCAGACCACGUGAGCUCGCCCGUUCCGGGUCAGAGAAGAUGCUCUGUGAGCUAGGGACUCUGGCCUCGGGCAGCCGGGCUUGUAAGGCUGCAGUGCCCACAGACUGGGGAGGGAGGAGGGAGUGGGGAACACUGUUCCCUACCAUUCAUGGUCUCCUCCCUGAGUGCUGUCUGGGCCCUCCCUCCUCAUGCACCUCUGAUUCCUGCUGCUCUUCCCCUCCUCUCCCUUCUGAGUCCCUCCCCACCCCCUGCGUAGUCACGUGGGGGCACCAUCGGAUUUAAGCUUAAUCUGCCGGGCUGCUCAGCCCAGCAGCCUGGCAUUGGUGUGUUAGUGCGUUGGUGCAUGUAGCUGAGACGCUCUUCGACCUCUGUACUUUGAGGAGGGGGGCUGUGGAGUGCCCACAGACCCCCCUCUCCAUGAGCCUGGGGCUGGCAGGAUCUCUGCAGGCUCAGCUGGCACUGGAGAUUGUGAUCCAGUCUCUGGAGAACUGUGUUCUGGGACCAAACCAAGAGAAGAGCCUGAGUGUGCAGAACCGGGUCCAGGACUUCCAGGGAGCCAGCCUGCUUGUCUGCGCCAGGGAGGUCAUCGCCAGCAACCUCUCCCGGCCUGAGACCCCAGCCCCACUCCAGGUCCCAGAGAUGGCCUCACUGCUGUCGCUGCAGGAGGAAAACCAGCUGCUGCAGCAGGAGCUGUCCCGCGUGGAGGACCUGCUGGCCCAGAGCCGCGCAGAGCGGGAUGAGCUGGCCAUCAAGUACAAUGCUGUCAAUGAGAGGCUGGAGCAGGCUGUGCGGCUGGAAACUGGGGAGCUGGAGGCACAGGAGCCCAGAGGGCUGGUGCGGCAGAGCGUGGAGCUGCGGAGGCAGCUGCAGGAGGAGCAGUCCUCCUACCGGCGCAAGCUGCAGGCCUACCAGGAGGGCCAGCAGCGGCAGGCCCAGCUAGUGCAGCGGCUGCAGGCCAAGAUUCUGCAGUACAAGAAGCAGUGCUCAGAGCUGGAGAAGCAGCUGAUGGACAGGUCUACUGAACUGGAGCAGCAGCGACUGAGGGACACAGAACACAGCCAGGACCUGGACAGCGCUCUUCUGCGCCUAGAGGAGGAACAGCAGAGAAGUGCCAGCCUGGCCCAGGUGAAUGCCAUGCUGAGAGAGCAGCUGGACCAGGCCAACUUGGCCAACCAGGCUCUGAGCGAGGACAUACGCAAGGUGACCAGUGACUGGACCCGCAGCUGUAAGGAGCUGGAGCAGCGGGAGGCAGUGUGGAGGCGCGAGGAAGAGUCCUUCAACACCUACUUCAGCAGCGAGCACAGCCGCCUGCUCCGCCUCUGGAGGCAGGUCAUGGGGCUCCGACGGCAGGCCAGCGAGGUGAAGAUGGGCACGGAGAGGGACUUGUUGCAGCUGGGCGGGGAGCUCGUCCGCACAUCCCGGGCUGUCCAGGAGCUGGGCCUCGGACUGAGUGCCAGCCUGCAUCGGGCUGAGAGCAAGGCAGAGGCAGCUCUGGAGAAGCAAAAGCUGCUGCAGGCCCAACUAGAGGAGCAGCUACAGGCCAAGCUGCUCCGGGAGAAGGACCUGGCCCAACUGCAGGUGCAGAGUGACCUGGACAAGGCUGAUCUCAGUGCCAGAGUGACAGAGCUGGCCCUGUCCGUGGAGCACCUUCAGAAUCAGAACUCAGAGAAGGACCAGGUCAACAGGACCCUCUCUGACAAGCUGGAGGCCCUGGAGUCACUGCGGCUUCAGGAACAGACAACCCUGGACACUGAGGAUGGAGAGGGGCUGCAGCAGACCCUGAGGGACCUGGCACAGGCUGCCCUAUCUGACACUGAGAGUGGUGUGCAGCUCAGCAGCUCAGAGCGCACUGCGGACACCUCUGACGGCAGCCUGCGCGGGUUCUCUGGCCAGCGGACUCCAACUCCACCGCGGCAUUCUCCGGGUCGAGGUCGUUCUCCGCGCCGAGGCCUGUCCCCAGCCUGCUCCGACUCCUCCACACUCACGCUGAUCCACUCAGCCCUGCACAAGCGCCAGCUACAGGUUCAGGACAUGCGUGGACGCUAUGAAGCCAGCCAAGAACUGCUGGGUUCCGUACGCAAGCAGCUCAGUGACAGUGAGGGCGAGCGGCGUGGCCUGGAGGAGCAGCUACAGCGCCUGCGGGACCAGACAGCAGCCUCAGCCCAGGCCCAAGAGGAUGCGCAGCGCGAGGCCCAGCGCCUACGCAGUGCCAACGAGCUCCUGAGCAGGGAGAAGGGGAACCUGACCCACAGCCUGCAGGUGACCCAGCAGCAAGCUAAGGAGCUGCGCCAGGAGCUGGAGAAGCUGCAGGCUGCCCAGGAGGAGCUGAAACGUCAGCAUAACCAACUGGAGGACGCGCAGGAGGACUCGGUGCAGGAGGGCGCCCGGGCCCGCCGGGAGCUGGAGCGCAGCCAUAGGCAGCUGGAACAGCUGGAGGUGAAGCGCUCAGGGCUGACUAAGGAGCUGGUGGAGGUGCGGGAGGCACUGAGCUGCGCCAUACUGCAGAGGGAUGUACUGCAGACGGAGAAGGCAGAGGUGGCCGAGGCGCUAACCAAGGCUGAAGCAGGCCGAGCGCAGCUGGAGCUCUCCCUGACCAAGCUGAGGGCAGAGGAGGCCUCCCUGCGAGACUCCUUAUCCAAGAUGAGUGCCCUGAAUGAGAGCCUCGCCCAGGACAAGCUGGAAUUAAACCGCCUUAUCGCCCAGCUAGAGGAAGAAAAGGUGGCACUCCUGGGCCGCCAGCAGCAGGCAGAACAUGCCACUACGAUGGCCGUGGAGAAGCAGGAACUUUUGGAGCAGCUGAGGCUGGAGCAGGAGGUGGAGAGGCAGGGCCUACAGGGCUCCCUGUGUGUGGCUGAGCAGGCCCGGGAGGCGCUGGAACAACAGAUCCUUGUACUGCGCAGCGAACGCAGCCAUCUGCAGGAGCAGUUGGCCCAGCUCUCCCGGCAGCUGAGUGGACGGGACCAGGAGCUGGAGCAAGCCCUGCGGGAGUCCCAGCGGCAGGUGGAAGCACUGGAGCGCGCUGCCCGGGAGAAGGAGGCUAUGGCCAAGGAGCGGGCUGGCCUGGCAGUGAAGCUGGCAGCAGCAGAGCGGGAGGGCCGGACCCUGUCAGAGGAGGCCAUUCGCCUGCGCCUGGAGAAGGAGGCCCUGGAGAGCAGCCUAUUUGACGUGCAGAGGCAGCUGGCUCAGCUCGAGGCCCGCCGAGAGCAGCUAGAAGCCGACAGUCAAGCCCUGCUGCUGGCCAAGGAAACUCUGACUGGGGAGCUGGCAGGCCUACGGCAGCAGGUAACAUCCACAGAAGAGAAGGCAGCCUUGGACAAGGAGCUGAUGACCCAGAAGCUAGUGCAAGCCGAGCGGGAGGCACAGGCCUCUCUGCGGGAGCAGCGGGCAGCCCAUGAGGAGGAUCUCCAGAGACUGCAGCAUGAGAAGGAGGCUGCAUGGCGGGAGCUUCAGGCAGAGCGGGCCCAGCUGCAGGGCCAGCUGCAGCAGGAGCGAGAGGAGCUGCUGGCACGGAUGGAGGCCGAGAAGGAGGAGCUGAGCAAGGAGAUUGCCGCGCUGCAGCAGGAGCGGGACGAGGGCCUGCUGCUGGCAGAGAGCGAAAAGCAGCAGGCCUUGUCCCUGAAGGAGUCCGAGAAGACGGCGCUGUCGGAGAAGUUGAUGGGAACUCGGCACAGUCUGGCUGCCAUCUCUCUGGAGAUGGAACGGCAGAAGCGAGAUGCCCAGAGCCGGCAGGAACAGGACCGGAACACACUGAACGCCCUGACAUCUGAACUUCGAGACCUCCGGGCCCAGCUGGAGGAAGCCACUGCCGCCCAUGCCCAGACGGUGAAAGAGCUGGAGGAACGGACGGGGAACCUGGGCCGGCAGCGGGAGGCCUGCAUGCGGGAGGCAGAAGAGCUGAGGACUCAGCUGCGUGUGUUGGAGGACACCCGCGAUGGGCUGCGGCGGGAGCUGCUGGAGGCUCAGCGUAAGGGUCGGGACAGUCAGGACAGCUCCGAAGCCCAUCGCCAAGAGGCUAGUGAGCUGCGGCGCAGCCUGAGUGAGGGCGCCAAGGAGCGGGAGGCCCUGCGGCGGUCCAACGAGGAGCUGAGGUCUGCAGUGAAGAAGGCGGAGAGUGAGCGCAUCAGCCUGAAGCUUGCCAAUGAGGACAAGGAGCAGAAGUUGGCCCUCCUGGAAGAGGCUCGAGUGUCUGUAGCCAAGGAGGCUGGAGAGCUGCGGGCCUCGCUGCAGGAGGUGGAGCGAUCCCGGCUGGAGGCUCGACGUGAGCUGCAGGAGCUUAGGCGACAGAUGAAGACACUGGACAGUGACAAUGGCAGGCUGGGCCGGGAGCUGGCAGACCUGCAGGGCCGCUUGGCCCUGGGUGAGCGGACGGAGAAGGAGAGCAGGCGAGAGGCCCUGGGCCUACGGCAGAGGUUGCUGAAAGGCGAGAGCAGCCUGGAAGCCCUGAAACAGGAGCUCCAGGGUUCCCAGAGGAAGCUGCAGGAGCAAGAGGCCGAGUUCCGGGCGCGGGAGCGAGGCCUGUUGGGCUCCCUGGAGGAGGCGCGUGGUGCCGAGAAGAGGCUUCUGGACUCUGCCCGCAGCCUGGAGCUGAGGCUGGAGGCGGUGCGGGCAGAGACCUCAGAGCUGGGGCUGCGGCUGAGCGCGGCCGAGGGCCGGGCGCAGGGUCUGGAGGUCGAGCUUGCCCGCGUGGAGGCGCAGCGGCGGGUGGCCGAGGCCCAGCUAGGCGGCCUGCGCUCCGCCCUGCGCCGGGGCCUAGGCCUGGGCCGAGUGUCCAGCUCCCCAGCCCGGGAGGCGCCUGCUGGAGGAAGUGGGGAUGGUCUUAGCAGCCCCAGUCCUUUGGAAUAUAGCCCUCGGUCCCAGCCCCCCUCUCCAGGGCUCAUUGCCUCCCCGGCACCUCCAGACUUGGACCCAGAAGCUGUGCGUGAUGCCCUCCGAGACUUCCUGCAAGAGCUGCGGAGCGCCCAGCGGGAGCGGGAUGAACUUAAGGUCCAGACCAGCACCCUGAGCCAACAGCUGGUGGAGAUGGAGGCAGAGAGAGACCAUGCAGCCUCAAGGGCCAAGCAGCUGCAGAAGGCAGUCGCUGAGAGCGAGGAAGGAGAAAGUCAGCAAGAUGAAGGCCACCGAGGCGAAGCUGGAGAGCGACAAGCGGCGGCUGAAGGAGGUGCUGGAUGCCUCUGAGAGCCGCUCCAUCAAACUGGAGCUGCAGCGGCGCGCUCUUGAGGGCGAGCUGCAGCGCAGCCGCCUCGGCCUGGGGGACCGGGAGGCCCAUGCGCAGGCCCUCCAGGAUCGGGUGGACUCCCUGCAGAGACAGGUGGCAGACAGUGAGGUGAAGGCAGGGACCUUACAGCUGACAGUGGAGCGGCUCAGUGGGGCACUGGCCAAGGUGGAGGAGAGCGAGGGGAACCUGCGGAGCAAGGUGCAGAGCUUGACAGAUGCCCUGACCCAGAGCAGCGCCAGCCUCAGCAGCACUCAGGACAAGAAUCUGCACCUACAGAAGGCCUUGAGUACCUGUGAACAUGACCGCCAAGUGCUACAGGAACGGCUGGAUGCAGCCAGACAGGCAUUGUCUGAAGCGCGAAGACAAAGCAGCUCCCUGGGUGAACAGGUGCAGACUUUGAGGGGCGAGCUGGCCAGCCUGGAGCUGCAGCGGGGCGAUGCUGAGGGCCAGCUGCAGCAGCUGCAGCAGGCGCUGCGACAGCGGCAGGAAGGGGAGGCCAUGGCUCUGCGCUCCGUCCAGAAGCUGCAGGAGGAGCGGCGCCUGUUGCAGGAGCGCCUGGGCAGUCUGCAGCGAGCCCUGGCCCAGCUGGAAGCUGAGAAACGUGAUCUGGAGCGCUCAGCCCUGCAGUUCGACAAGGACCGUGUGGCCCUCAGGAAGACGCUGGAUAAGGUGGAGCGGGAGAAGCUUCGAAGCCAUGAGGACACCCUGCGCUUGAAUGCAGAGAGGGGCCGCCUGGACCGCACACUCACAGGAGCUGAGCUGGACCUGGCCGAGGCCCAACAGCAGAUCCAACAUUUGGAGGCACAGGUGGAUGUAGCCCUGGAGGGGAACCACAAUCCGGUCCAGCCAGAGGCGGGUGAGCAGCAACUGGAACUGCAACAGGAGGUUGAACGCCUGCGCAGUGCCCAGGUACAGACGGAGCGCACACUGGAGGCACGGGAGCGGGCCCACCGCCAGAGGGUGUCAGGGCUCGAGGAGCAGGUAUCCACACUGAAGGCACAGCUACACCAGGAGCUUCGCAGGAGCUCGGCAUCCGUCUCCCUACCCCCUGGCACCCCUGAGAAAUGAGACCCUUCUAGUCCUGAGCAGGUCCCCUGGGCAGGAGAGACACCCUUUGUAGCAUAGCCUGCCCAGGGCCUGGUCAUCAGAGUGCUGUGUGAGGGAGCUGGGGUGGCAGAGAUGAUGGCUUCUCAGAGUUGCUACAACCUGUACUACCCCGGGCCUCUCCUGGAAGAGCCUCUUGAUGGCCCAAGGCUGCAUGAGCCAGCCAGGGGCCAGGGAGAGCACUUGUUUCUGGCAGCAGCAGAACAAGGCUUCCCCAGAAAGGCUACCUGAGCCAGAGCAGCCCCCAGCGUCUGUCCUUGACAUCCUGUCAGAAGCUCCCUCGUGACCUUAGAGCCCUUGUAUUUUUAUACUUUUUUAUAAUGUUGACUGUGGAGAGCGUUUGUGCUUUUUGUAACGUGACCUGUUUUCUAGA
Molecule: RNA transcript, 6989 nt
Organism: Mus musculus (house mouse)
Lineage: Eukaryota; Metazoa; Chordata; Mammalia; Rodentia; Muridae
Gene: Crocc
Gene name: ciliary rootlet coiled-coil, rootletin
Exons: 36
Source: RefSeq, marked validated